Molecule: long non-coding RNA, 1408 nt
Organism: Eriocheir sinensis (Chinese mitten crab)
Lineage: Eukaryota; Metazoa; Arthropoda; Malacostraca; Decapoda; Varunidae
Exons: 6
Source: RefSeq, a predicted model, not a curated record
CGGUAGUAGUAGCAGUAGUAGUAGUAGUAAUAGUAGCAGUAGUAGUAGUAGUGAAAUGUGACGCUUGAUAAGAGGGUAAAGCUGAAUGAUUCCUUCCAUACUCAGCAGGUCAGCUUUUGUUUUACGGCAUUCAAGCUUGACUAAAGGAUUGGAAGAGGUUCUCAAAGAAGUGAUAAGGGUCUUCAGGAGCAUUGUGGGGGACUCGAUAUCUUUUUAAUAUCGUUUCGAUAAUACACUUCGAAAACACGUGAAAUAUGUUUGUGUGUGGGGUAGAGAGGAGCCAGGGUUGUAGUAUAUGUUUAGAUGUUGGUGGUGAUGGUGGUCAGUUGGGAAGUGGAAGAGUAAUUGGAAAGGACGUGUUGGGGUUUGCCUCGUCACCACCACCCACACCACCACCACCACCACCACCACUGCUAUUACUACUACUACUAUGGCUUCUACUACUGUGACCACUACCACCACCAUGAAAGUUUUCCUACUCGUAACCUUUCUCCCAGUUGUCCUCACCUUCGCUUUGUCUCAGCUCGACGAGAACUUGAGACUUAAGAGAAUGGUGGAGUUGAGGACGAGACGGGAGUCGGUACUGAACACAACCCGACCGCACGUACGACCGCUAAGACCAGACAACGAGAACCACGAGGGACCGGUUAAGGACGACAACGACGACUGGUACUUUUCAGAGGAGGAAGAGGAGAGAGGAACGCUAGACGAGGGCGGAGGAAGGAGUCACGAUAUCACACGGGGAGGGGUCGUGAAGCCUCAAGGUUGUCGGGGUUGCCCAGGGGACGCCGUUUUCAGGUGUAACAACGGCAAGAAGGUGUGCCAAGUGAAGGUGUGUGACGGGGUGAUGGACUGCCGCUCAGGUGAAGACGAGACCAGCUGCCGCUGCUGGGAAGGGGAGUUUGUGUGUGACGGCUACAGGUGUUUGCCGCUUGCCUUCCGCUGUGAUGGUUACCUGGACUGUGCUGAUAACGCUGACGAGACCAACUGCGAUGGCGCCAGCGGUUGUCCAGGGGAUGACUUGUUCCGGUGCAAGAGCGGCGAGAGCGUGUGUCAGAUAAACGUGUGUGACGGAGCGGUGGACUGCCUCUACGGUGACGACGAGGAAGGCUGCGGCUGCCAGGCGGGGGAGUUCGUAUGUGAUAGCAGCUACUGUCUGCCUUCCCUUUACCGCUGUGACGGGCGCCAAGACUGCUGGGACGGGGCGGACGAGGUCAACUGUGAUAUGGUUCGGUGAUGACUUGAGAUGACGAUGAGGACGAAGGAGCUGCAUAGUGGUCAUCCUCAUCAUGAAACACUUAGAUGACUGAUGAAUUUUGGGACUGUUCUCACCUCUUGAAUGGACUGAAUGGACACAACUUUCUUGGACGCGACACUAUAGUAAUGAAAAUAAAAAUACCACACUACA